GAGGAAGAAGAGGGGAUUUGGCCACGACCAGAGGGUAGGAGACAGACCACCCUGGAAACAGCUGGCAUUCUCCCCCAGGAGCCUGUGUGUGGAUGUGGCUGUUAGCAUCAGAGGUUGCAGAUCUACCCCACCUCACCCCAAAUCCCCCUUUACCUGCUAUGAGGGAACUGGAAGCUGCAAGCAUCCUCAGCUGACAACUGCACCUCCACGAAUGGCGGGGUCUCUGUAGUAAAACUAUGAUGGGGGGUGUGGAGACCAUUGUGAUUGUGAUAGACCCGGGAAACCUGGUCUGACACCCUUUUAAACGGCAGUUGGAGGAGGCUAAGGAAGUAAAAAAGUUGAAGUUGCCAGCUAACUA
RNAcentral lists this long non-coding RNA (358 nucleotides) under Mus caroli (Ryukyu mouse). RNAcentral's name for it is "lncRNA (MGP_CAROLIEiJ_G0003621.1)". Lineage: Eukaryota; Metazoa; Chordata; Mammalia; Rodentia; Muridae. The record is from RNAcentral.